CACACGCAGGCCAUGGGGUGUUCCGGGAGAAAUCCGGUGCGCUCCGCCGGUGCCGGACGGGUUUCCGUCCGUUCUCAGGUCUGCGGAGGUUCAACCGGAAAAGGAGACAA
Molecule: small RNA, 110 nt
Filed under: Martelella mediterranea DSM 17316
Lineage: Bacteria; Pseudomonadati; Pseudomonadota; Alphaproteobacteria; Hyphomicrobiales; Aurantimonadaceae
Description: rpsB sRNA
Rfam family: rpsB sRNA
Source: Rfam by way of RNAcentral